This 548-nucleotide ribosomal RNA is filed under the name uncultured Glomeromycotina. RNAcentral's name for it is "SSU rRNA". It matches the Rfam family "Eukaryotic small subunit ribosomal RNA", at positions 548 to 1098 of the family's 1831-position model. Lineage: Eukaryota; Fungi; Glomeromycota. The record is from RNAcentral.
UUGGAGGGCAAGUCUGGUGCCAGCAGCCGCGGUAAUUCCAGCUCCAAUAGCGUAUAUUAAAGUUGCUGCAGUUAAAAAGCUCGUAGUUGAAUUUCGGGACCAUCAUGUCGGUCGUGCCUCGGUACGUACUGGUAUUGUUGGUUUCUCCUUUCUGACGAACCAUGAUGUCAUUUAUUUGGUGUUGUGGGGAAUCAGGACUGUUACUUUGAAAAAAUUAGAGUGUUUAAAGCAGGCUCACGCUUGAAUACAUUAGCAUGGAAUAAUGAAAUAGGACGUUUGAUUCUAUUUUGUUGGUUUCUAGGAUCGACGUAAUGAUUAAUAGGGAUAGUUGGGGGCAUUAGUAUUCAAUUGUCAGAGGUGAAAUUCUUGGAUUUAUUGAAGACUAACUACUGCGAAAGCAUUUGCCAAGGAUGUUUUCAUUAAUCAAGAACGAAAGUUAGGGGAUCGAAGACGAUCAGAUACCGUCGUAGUCUUAACCAUAAACUAUGCCGACUAGGGAUCGGAUGAUGUUAAUUUUUUAAUGACUCAUUCGGCGCCUUACGGGAAAC